UUUGAUGUGGAACACCUAGCAGAGUUUGUUAAGUAAAAAUUAUUACGCUAACCUGUUUGUGCAUAAUGAAACAAGUAUCUACACUAAAAUGUACAGCAAAAAUUAUAAUGCUCUGCAUAUAUGCCACCAUAAUGAUAUAUACUACCUGCGACUGACUCGAACACUGAGUUGAGAAUAUCUAUUAAGAUAAUUACAUCUGGACUUCAUCCUUGGUAAUAUUCAACACACAAAUUGUAACUGAUGUUUUUAAAAUUCACGUGCAUACUAGAGUAGUUAAGGCAGUGAACGUUGUGUGUGAUUAUGUAUAUGUUUGUGUGUAUAGAUGUGCAGGUUAGGUUACCACUCUUAGCACAUGCCUUGUAAUCUAAAAGUUUCCAUUUAAAUAAUGUUAGAAAAACAUAUUUUUAAUAAUUUUUACCUGUUUUUGCUAAAAUGAACGUUGACUUGCACCGAAUAAUUGGAAAUCAACAGGUGGAAUGUUGUAGAAAGUAAAAAUGAAGUUGCAUGUUAUUUGCCAGGUGCUCUUUUCUCUCUCCCUUAUUAAAGUUAUUGGCUCCAAGCCAUGUAAGCUAUGUACUCUUGAAAAUCUUUUAUUCUUCCUUAAUAAGCUGUUAACUCCAAACCAUGUAUACUCUACAAGCUUUUUUGUUAUCAACAUAAACACGUUGAUUGUUUGUUGUUCUCACGCUCAGAUACGUCACGUAUACUUCUUUAUACGCGGUUACAUAUGCGAGUCCAAAAAAAUGCAACUGCGCAUCCAAAUCGCGCAUGGAUUGCUUUCUCAUAAAUUUCUGUCGUGAGCCGCGCGCGGGAUUGCUUUCCCAUAAGUUUCUGUCAUCAACGGCGCACGGGAUUGCUUUCUCAUAUAUUUCUUCAACUAUACGGCUAUUUAUGUAGCUCUAAAAAAUUUAUAACAUUUUUUAACAAAUGUUAGACGUUGUAAAAUAAAGGCAGUAUGAUACACGAAUCAAUCUGGAACAGAUUUAAAUAAAAUUUUUAUUUUGAAAAUCAAGUAACCUGCAUGAAGAAUAUUGUUUAAAUAUGGAAAACGAUAAAAAUUCUGAAAAUGUUCUGUACACAUGUGUUUCUUGUGAAAAAACUUUUAAAAGAAAGAGAGAUUUAAUAAUACAUGAAAGAAUACACUCAAAAAAUAAACCACAUAUAUGUACUAUAUGUAAAAAAAGUUUUACUCAAAUGGGAAAUUUAAAUGUGCAUAUCAAGAUCCAUGAUACUGUGAAAGCUUUUAAAUGCUUAAUAUGCGAAAAAAGUUUCAAAACAAAUGGGCAAUUAAAAGUACAUCAAAGUAUACAUAAAGGUUUGAAAAAUUACAGUUGUAAUGAGUGUAAUAAGAAGUUCUCCCAAAAUCAACAUCUACAAACUCAUAGAUUGACACAUACUGAUCUAUGUAACUUUACAUGUCAUAUCUGUAAUAAAACUUUUGUUAGAAAAGAUGUUUUGGAAAAACAUGUAAACUCACAACAUCCUAAAAAUGUUUACACAUGUAAUUAUUGUAAGAGAACAUACGUUAACAAAAAAUAUUUGGAAAAGCACAUUAUGGCUCAUAUGUCUGGAAAAGUUAAAAUUGUAAAAAUUCUUAAAACUCUAAGACCUCCAGUUUUAUCUGUACCCUUAUUAUAAAAUUAUUAAUUAUACUAUAUAUACACAAUAAAAAAAUAUUUGUUCAAAAACA
RNAcentral lists this long non-coding RNA (1690 nucleotides) under Nasonia vitripennis (jewel wasp). RNAcentral describes it as "uncharacterized LOC116417986". The record is from RNAcentral. Lineage: Eukaryota; Metazoa; Arthropoda; Insecta; Hymenoptera; Pteromalidae.